GUCAGCUUGAAAGCUCUCAUCACCAGAAAGAUAGCCUUCAGUGCUGGACGCUGGUGGGAAUUUGAUCACCCUGACCUCGCCUCCUGCCAUCGAUGACUUUAAGGGGCUGGAGCCUCAGCCACCUCCUACUCAGAAAUGAAUGCUCCAAGGAACACACUCGAGUAGAAGAUGCUCGGCGACUGGUAGUGGUGCAGCACCUCUUGGGAGGUGAAGUCCUGGCCUCCACAUGGCGGAUGGUACCUUCUGUCCUUGAUCCUACAAGGAUGACCUUUCUAGACAGUCUUCUUGGGCCUCCUGCCAUGGCUGAACUCCUGGGACAGUGGUUCUGGACUGGCAAACUACAGUUCUUGCCGCUGCCUCAGGGUGUAGAUGGCCCAGUGUCUGUGGGCUGGAAGGACACCAACCUAGGAAGCAGCCCUGAGCUGGCAUGAGGAGUCCAUCCCUGGUGGCAGGUUUGUCCGGACAUAGGAAUGGCAUGACACCACCACUCCUGGGGCUUUGGAGGAGUUGAUAGCUAUCCAUUGGAGACCCUCGAGUUUUCCAUGGACUCUUUUCCUCUGGGGAUCACCUACCAUAAAUUCCCGGGUGUGGCUGCCCUUACCACCUGACUAUAGAGGCAGCCAUCUGAUCCAGGCUUGGACCAGACUCCUCUGCAGGACUUUUUGAGUUUUCGGAGGACACAACAUCUUUAUUUUACUUUUAUGUGGUGCUGAGGAUUGAACCCAGCGCCCCGUGCAUGCCAGGCUAGCACGCUACUGCUUGAGCCACAUCCCCAGCCCCUCUGCAGGACUGCUGAAGGAACUCGGGGGGAAGCCAUUCUGUUCCUGGGGCAGUUGAUAAGUCCAUACAAUGGAGCCUGAAACUGCUGGUGACCAGCCCUUUAUCCACUCGACAACAAAGCCAACAGGAGAGAGAAUGAACAUGGAGAGAAUAUCGGUGCAAAUAGGCCAUGCCGGAACCCACUGGCUUCCCUGCGCUAUGGGGAUUGAGACAAGGCAUAUCUCUUUUGCUAAAAAUAGCCUGAGUACGGCUUCUGUCACAGAAGUGUGCCCAAUGCAGGCAGGGUUUUUUUUUUUUUUGAAACAACUUUGAGGUAUAUUUCACCCUGAAAUUCAUCCACUACCCAUGCCUGUGUAGCCGCCAUCAGAGGGCCACUGUUUCUUCCCCCAAAAUGUCCCAUCUCUCCACCCACUGCGCUUCCCUUUGCAGAACUUUAUGUAAUCCUAGUGCAUACUCUCCCGUCAGGCUGAGUCAGAAGACAGUCUUCCACGUUGAUGGUUGCACGCAGCAAUGAUCCAGUCCUUUCUCUUGCUGGGUCACCUGACAUUGCGUAGACGUAAGUGGUUCUUUAUCCACUUAGAUGAGGGAUAGUUGAGCCGUUUCCAGAUUUCGGCUGCUGUGAAUAAAGCUGUUUUGAACAUUUGUGCCAA
This is a long non-coding RNA of Marmota flaviventris (yellow-bellied marmot), 1430 nucleotides long. RefSeq lists it as uncharacterized. Lineage: Eukaryota; Metazoa; Chordata; Mammalia; Rodentia; Sciuridae. The record is from RefSeq and is a predicted model, not a curated record.